AUGAUUCAUCCACUCCUGUUUCUUCUCUGCCUCCUUCACCACAAAGCGCACUGUGCACCGCAUCAGCCCCUCACGGGACAGAGGGUGCACACUCACCAACUUUCACAGCUGUCAUUUGGAGGCCCCACUUCGCCCCCUGGGCUUAACCCAGAGGAACUACCCGUGGUGACCUUGGUGGACGUCUGCUUCGGUCUUCUGCAGGGGUGGACUCUCCACUGCAGAGGUCUGGUAACUGCUCGGUUUAUUUAUACAGAGGUUCCUGUCGGGAUAGAAUAAUUUGACACCUGGGUUAAAUCAGUAACAACCAAUGCUUGUACUUCAAGAUCAUUCAUCAUUUAAACUAUAUUUUACAAUUUCUCAAACAAGUGACUAAUAUUAAUAAUCAGUUGUUUUUUUUUUUGUGCUUUAUUAUGUAUAACAGAUGUUGAAAGACACUUCGGCUUCCACCAUUAAAGUUAAACCUCAGUCAUUUUGUAUACAGAACUUUUCUCUAUAAAACUUUCGUUUUUCUCAUCUAAAAUGUAGGAGGCUUACAUUGCAUUUACCAGAUUAAAAUACUUAAAUUCUUCAAAUGCUCAGAGAAGAGUCUUCUGAAAUUGAACCUUGUGCAAAUAGAACGUAACUUGCAUAUAAAAAUUAUCUACCACCAAACAGGCAAUUACUAUAGAAACAGCUUCACAGAUAUAUUGUGUGUAGUUUAGUGUGUGUAUUGUCAUUAUUAAUGUUUUUAACUAACCGUGCCUGAAUUACUACUCUUUUCAUCAAAGCUGUGCCAGAAAAAAACUGCUCAGGUUUCUUCUUGGCAAAAUCUUCACAAAUUGGGGGUUAUGAUAAUUUCUGUAGUGUGUUCAAAUUUAAAUAACAAUUAUAUGACCAAUGAAUAUAAAACGAUAGCAUACCUAAUACUUUGGUAUUAACUCACCCGAAUUUACAGCAAUGGCCAAAGAUGGUUUGAAUUUGAAUCAAAUGUUUGAAUUUGUGUCUGUGUUUUGGGGAUCACAUUAGAGGGUUGUUACAGCCCUGAUCUUUUGCCAUUGCUGUAAAUUCAGGUGAGAUAAUACCAAAGUAUUAGGAAUGCUAUCCUUUUAUAUUCAUUGGUCAUAUAAUCAUUAUUGAAAUUUGUAGGGAUUUUUGGAAAUAAAAAAUAAUGGGCCACUGAGACUAAUAAUGUUUUGUUUGUCGGGUAAAGAAACAUUGAGUUGAAUCUUGUUUUGAG
Molecule: long non-coding RNA, 1216 nt
Filed under: Lepisosteus oculatus (spotted gar)
Lineage: Eukaryota; Metazoa; Chordata; Actinopteri; Semionotiformes; Lepisosteidae
Description: lncRNA (ENSLOCG00000023236.1)
Source: RNAcentral